GGGGACGUGGUGAAAUGGCAGACACACUAUCUUGAGGGGGUAGCGCGCGAAAGCGCAUGAGGGUUCAACUCCCUCCGUCCCCA
This 83-nucleotide transfer RNA is filed under the name Candidatus Sericytochromatia bacterium. RNAcentral's name for it is "tRNA-Leu". It matches the Rfam family "tRNA". From Rfam's summary of the family: Transfer RNA (tRNA) molecules are approximately 80 nucleotides in length. Their secondary structure includes four short double-helical elements and three loops (D, anti-codon, and T loops). Further hydrogen bonds mediate the characteristic L-shaped molecular structure. tRNAs have two regions of fundamental functional importance: the anti-codon, which is responsible for specific mRNA codon recognition, and the 3' end, to which the tRNAs corresponding amino acid is attached (by aminoacyl-tRNA synthetases). tRNAs cope with the degeneracy of the genetic code in two manners: having more than one tRNA (with a specific anti-codon) for a particular amino acid; and 'wobble' base-pairing, i.e. permitting non-standard base-pairing at the 3rd anti-codon position. The record is from RNAcentral. Lineage: Bacteria; Bacillati; Candidatus Sericytochromatia.